AAUAGAUACCCAGGUAGUCCACGCCGUAAACGAUGGGUGCUAGGUGUGGGCGGUGUCGACUCCGUCCGUGCCGAAGCUAACGCGUUAAGCAUCCCGCCUGGGAACUACGAGCGCAAGCUUAAAACUCAAAGGAAUUGACGGGGGACCCGCACAAGCAGCGGAGCGUGUGGUUUAAUUCGAUGCUACACGAAGAACCUCACCCAGGUUUGACAUGACGGUGGUAGUGAAGCGAAAGUGGAACGACCCGCAAGGGAGCCGUCACAGGUGUUGCAUGGCUGUCGUCAGCUCGUGUCGUGAGAUGUUGGUUUAAGUACCCUAACGAGCGCAACCCUCGUUGCCAGUUACAGGUGUCUGGCGAGACUGCCGGCCGCAAGCCGGAGGAAGGCGGGGAUGACGUCAAGUCAGCAUGGCCUUUAUAUCUGGGGCUACACACACGCUACAAUGGGCCGCCACAAUGGGUCGCCAAAACCGCGAGGCGGAGCCAAUCCCACAAAAACGGUCCUCAGUUCAGAUUGCAGGCUGCAACCCG
This 529-nucleotide ribosomal RNA is filed under the name uncultured bacterium. RNAcentral's name for it is "bacterial SSU rRNA". It matches the Rfam family "Bacterial small subunit ribosomal RNA", at positions 777 to 1314 of the family's 1533-position model. The record is from RNAcentral.